RNAcentral lists this ribosomal RNA (449 nucleotides) under uncultured bacterium. RNAcentral describes it as "bacterial SSU rRNA". It matches the Rfam family "Bacterial small subunit ribosomal RNA", at positions 29 to 524 of the family's 1533-position model. The record is from RNAcentral.
AACGAACGCUGGCGGCAUUCCUAACACAUGCAAGUCGAACGAAGCCUUCGGGCUUAGUGGCGCACGGGUGCGUAACGCGUGGGAACCUGCCCCUUGGUUCGGAAUAACAGUUAGAAAUGACUGCUAAUACCGGAUGAUGACGAAAGUCCAAAGAUUUAUCGCCGAGGGAUGGGCCCGCGUAGGAUUAGCUAGUUGGUGAGGUAAUGGCUCACCAAGGCGACGAUCCUUAGCUGGUCUGAGAGGAUGAUCAGCCACACUGGGACUGAGACACGGCCCAGACUCCUACGGGAGGCAGCAGUGGGGAAUAUUGGACAAUGGGCGAAAGCCUGAUCCAGCAAUGCCGCGUGAGUGAUGAAGGCCUUAGGGUUGUAAAGCUCUUUACCAGGGAUGAUAAUGACAGUACCUGGAGAAUAAGCUCCGGCUAACUCCGUGCCAGCAGCCGCGGUAAU